Molecule: non-coding RNA, 974 nt
Filed under: Trichomonas vaginalis G3
Lineage: Eukaryota; Parabasalia; Trichomonadida; Trichomonadidae
Description: Eukaryotic small subunit ribosomal RNA
Rfam family: Eukaryotic small subunit ribosomal RNA
Source: Rfam by way of RNAcentral
UACUUGGUUGAUCCUGCCAAGGAAGCACACUUAGGUCAUAGAUUAAGCCAUGCAAGUGUUAGUUCAGGUAACGAAACUGCGAAUAGCUCAUUAAUACGCUCAGAAUCUAUUUGGCGGCGACCAACAGGUCUUAAAUGGAUAGCAGCAGCAACUCUGGUGCUAAUACAUGCGAUUGUUUCUCCAGAUGUGAAUUAUGGAGGAAAAGUUGACCUCAUCAGAGGCACGCCAUUCGACUGAGUGACCUAUCAGCUUGUACUUAGGGUCUUUACCUAGGUAGGCUAUCACGGGUAACGGGCGGUUACCGUCGGACUGCCGGAGAAGGCGCCUGAGAGAUAGCGACUAUAUCCACGGGUAGCAGCAGGCGCGAAACUUUCCCACUCGAGACUUUCGGAGGAGGUAAUGACCAGUUCCAUUGGUGCCUUUUGGUACUGUGGAUAGGGGUACGGUUUUCCACCGUACCGAAACCUAGCAGAGGGCCAGUCUGGUGCCAGCAGCUGCGGUAAUUCCAGCUCUGCGAGUUUGCUCCCAUAUUGUUGCAGUUAAAACGCCCGUAGUCUGAAUUGGCCAGCAAUGGUCGUACGUAUUUUUACGUUCACUGUGAACAAAUCAGGACGCUUAGAGUAUGGCCACAUGAAUGACUCAGCGCAGUAUGAAGUCUUUGUUUUCUUCCGAAAACAAGCUCAAUGAGAGCCAUCGGGGGUAGAUCUAUCUCAUGACGAGUGGUGGAAUACUUUGACUCAUGAGAGAGAAGCUGAGGCGAAGGCGUCUACCUAGAGGGUUUCUGUCGAUCAAGGGCGAGAGUAGGAGUAUCCAACAGGAUUAGAGACCCUGGUAGUUCCUACCUUAAACGAUGCCGACAGGAGUUUGUCAUUUGUUAAUGGCAGAAUCUUUGGAGAAAUCAUAGUUCUUGGGCUCUGGGGGAACUACGACCGCAAGGCUGAAACUUGAAGGAAUUGACGGAAGGGCACACCAGG